GAUAAAACGCUGACAGAAUGCUUAACACAUGCAAGUCGAUGAUGGGAAGCUAAGCCUAGCUUAGAAGAAGUCAUGGCGGACGGGUGAGUAACGUGUAAAGAACUUGCCCUCUAGACUGGGAUAACAGAUAGAAAUGUCUGAUAAUACCGGAUAUUAUUGUUACAUGGCAUCAUGUAGGAAUGAAAGGAUAAGAUUGCUAGAGGAGAGCUUUGCAUCCUAUUAGCUAGUUGGUAAGGUAGCGGCUUACCAAGGCGAUGAUAGGUAGCCGGCCUGAGAGGGUGGACGGCCACAAGGGGACUGAGAUACGGCCCUU
This 313-nucleotide ribosomal RNA is filed under the name uncultured bacterium. RNAcentral describes it as "bacterial SSU rRNA". It matches the Rfam family "Bacterial small subunit ribosomal RNA", at positions 32 to 334 of the family's 1533-position model. The record is from RNAcentral.